GACGAACGCUGGCGGCGUGCUUAACACAUGCAAGUCGAACGGAAAGGCCCUGCUUUGGUGGGGUGCUCGAGUGGCGAACGGAUGAGUAACACAAGAGUAACCUGCCCCUGACUUUGGGAUAACUUCAGGAAACUGGGGCUAAUACCGCACAGCAGCUCCUGCUGCAGGGUGGGGGUUGGAAAGUUUUGGCGGUUGGGGAUGGACUCGCGGCUUAUCAGCUUGUUGGUGGGGUAGUGGCUUACCAAGGCCUUGACGGGUAGCCGGCCUGAGAGGGUGACCGGCCACAUUGGGACUGAGAUACGGCCCAGACUCCUACGGGAGGCAGCAGUGGGGAAUAUUGCACAAUGGGCGGAAGCCUGAUGCAGCAACGCCGCGUGCGGGAUGACGGCCUUCGGGUUGUAAACCGCUUUCGCCUGUGACGAAGCGUGAGUGACGGUAAUGGGUAAAGAAGCACCGGCUAACUACGUG
This 468-nucleotide ribosomal RNA is filed under the name uncultured bacterium. RNAcentral describes it as "partial 16S ribosomal RNA". It matches the Rfam family "Bacterial small subunit ribosomal RNA", at positions 28 to 507 of the family's 1533-position model. The record is from RNAcentral.